AUACAAUUCCCGGACCACGCCUGGCUGAGGGUCG
Molecule: ribosomal RNA, 34 nt
Filed under: Ophion sp. MS13111
Lineage: Eukaryota; Metazoa; Arthropoda; Insecta; Hymenoptera; Ichneumonidae
Description: partial 5.8S ribosomal RNA
Source: RNAcentral